GUUUAACUAAAGCAAUUCGGGCAACUGCAGAGAUUGUGUCAUAGCAGAGGAAACAGAAUUGGUUCCAAUAAUUUAAAUGACAAAAGGAGAGAUGAAAAUCAAAACAGAGGUAUUAACAGACUUGGUUCCAAUAUUUACAGGACAAAAGGAAAGGUCAAAAUCAAAACAAAGGUAUUCUUCUGCACUCAACAAAAUAAUGAAUCUCUACUGCAAAAUUCACAGAGAUUCUUGAACAGCUAGCUAUGCAUUUCCCUUUAACUUUUUAUGAUUUCAACUACAAAUUAGACUCGAUAAUACCAAGCAUUAUUCUUUUGAAUUCACAUAUCAAGGCCUGCUUAAAAAGUCCACAUGCUGAUGAUAGAUUUACCAAGGUUGGUGCAUUAUCUAGUUUUAAUUUCCCACCAAUCAAUAGAAUCAGGGGCAGUUACGGUUCCUGAACCGCCGGUUUAGGUUCAAUGAAAUCAUGAAUUUGAACCAAAUCGUCAGGGGACGGUUUUGAAGACGGUUCCUAAACCACUGGUUCCGGUUCGAGCCCCGGUUUAAAACGGUUUAAAGGACGGUUCAAAAAAUAACAGUUUAAGACGGUUUGGAGGAUGGUUUGGAAGUGGUUUAAGAGCGACUUAAAGGAACAAAUUAGAGGAAAAUUUUAUUGAUUUAGAAUCUAAGUUAUUUGUAAAAAUAUCUUUCUUAGAAAUCUUUCAAUCAAA
Molecule: unclassified non-coding RNA, 707 nt
Filed under: Hevea brasiliensis (rubber tree)
Lineage: Eukaryota; Viridiplantae; Streptophyta; Magnoliopsida; Malpighiales; Euphorbiaceae
Source: RNAcentral